RNAcentral lists this ribosomal RNA (266 nucleotides) under uncultured bacterium. RNAcentral describes it as "partial 16S ribosomal RNA". It matches the Rfam family "Bacterial small subunit ribosomal RNA", at positions 793 to 1055 of the family's 1533-position model. The record is from RNAcentral.
GUCCACGCCCUAAACGAUGUCAACUAGGUGUUGGGAGGGUAAAACCUUUUAGUACCGGAGCUAACGCGUGAAGUUGACCGCCUUGGGAGUACGGCCGCAAGGUUAAAACUCAAAGGAAUUGACGGGGACCCGCACAAGCGGUGGAUGAUGUGGAUUAAUUCGAUGCAACGCGAAAAACCUUACCUACCCUUGACAUGUCAGGAACUUGCCAGAGAUGGCUUGGUGCUCGAAAGAGAACCUGAACACAGGUGCUGCAUGGUUGUCGU